Molecule: small nucleolar RNA, 65 nt
Filed under: Castor canadensis (American beaver)
Lineage: Eukaryota; Metazoa; Chordata; Mammalia; Rodentia; Castoridae
Source: RNAcentral
AUGUAAUGAUGUUGGUGAAAUGUGUGAUCUGAAAUGAGUAUGUAGACACAUUUAGCACUGAAAAG